UAGAGUUUGAUCAUGGCUCAGAUUGAACGCUGGCGGCAGGCCUAACACAUGCAAGUCGAGCGGUAACAGGAAUUAGCUUGCUAAUUCGCUGACGAGCGGCGGACGGGUGAGUAAUGCCUGGGAAUAUGCCUUAGUGUGGGGGAUAACUAUUGGAAACGAUAGCUAAUACCGCAUAAUGUCUUCGGACCAAAGAGGGGGACCUUCGGGCCUCUCGCGCUAAGAUUAGCCCAGGUGAGAUUAGCUUGUUGGUGAGGUAAGAGCUCACCAAGGCGACGAUCUCUAGCUGGUCUGAGAGGAUGAUCAGCCACACUGGAACUGAGACACGGUCCAGACUCCUACGGGAGGCAGCAGUGGGGAAUAUUGCACAAUGGGCGCAAGCCUGAUGCAGCCAUGCCGCGUGUAUGAAGAAGGCCUUCGGGUUGUAAAGUACUUUCAGUGGGGAGGAAGGUGUUGUCGUUAAUAGCGGCAGCAUUUGACGUUACCCACAGAAGAAGCACCGGCUAACUCCGUGCCAGCAGCCGCGGUAAUACGGAGGGUGCGAGCGUUAAUCGGAAUUACUGGGCGUAAAGCGCAUGCAGGUGGUUCAUUAAGUCAGAUGUGAAAGCCCGGGGCUCAACCUCGGAACCGCAUUUGAAACUGGUGAACUAGAGUGCUGUAGAGGGGGGUAGAAUUUCA
RNAcentral lists this ribosomal RNA (675 nucleotides) under uncultured Vibrionaceae bacterium. RNAcentral's name for it is "bacterial SSU rRNA". It matches the Rfam family "Bacterial small subunit ribosomal RNA", at positions 1 to 671 of the family's 1533-position model. The record is from RNAcentral. Lineage: Bacteria; Pseudomonadati; Pseudomonadota; Gammaproteobacteria; Vibrionales; Vibrionaceae.